GAUUAUCUAGCUUGCUAGAUAUGAUUAGUGGCGGACGGGUGAGUAACAUUUAGGAAUCUGCCUAGUAGUGGGGGAUAGCUCGGGGAAACUCGAAUUAAUACCGCAUACGACCUACGGGUGAAAGGGGGCGCAAGCUCUUGCUAUUAGAUGAGCCUAAAUCAGAUUAGCUAGUUGGUGGGGUAAAGGCCCACCAAGGCGACGAUCUGUAACUGGUCUGAGAGGAUGAUCAGUCACACCGGAACUGAGACACGGUCCGGACUCCUACGGGAGGCAGCAGUGGGGAAUAUUGGACAAUGGGGGCAACCCUGAUCCAGCCAUGCCGCGUGUGUGAAGAAGGCCUUUUGGUUGUAAAGCACUUUAAGCAGGGAGGAGAGGCUAAUGGUUAAUACCCAUUAGAUUAGACGUUACCUGCAGAAUAAGCACCGGCUAACUCUGUGCCAGCAGCCGCGGUAAUACAGAGGGUGCGAGCGUUAAUCGGAAUUACUGGGCGUAAAGCGAGUGUAGGUGGCUCAUUAAGUCACAUGUGAAAUCCCCGGGCUUAACCUGGGAACUGCAUGUGAUACUGGUGGUGCUAGAAUAUGUGAGAGGGAAGUAGAAUUCCAGGUGUAGCGGUGAAAUGCGUAGAGAUCUGGAGGAAUACCGAUGGCGAAGGCAGCUUCCUGGCAUAAUAUUGACACUGAGAUUCGAAAGCGUGGGUAGCA
RNAcentral lists this ribosomal RNA (701 nucleotides) under Acinetobacter sp. Z4_102_3. RNAcentral's name for it is "bacterial SSU rRNA". It matches the Rfam family "Bacterial small subunit ribosomal RNA", at positions 68 to 770 of the family's 1533-position model. Lineage: Bacteria; Pseudomonadati; Pseudomonadota; Gammaproteobacteria; Moraxellales; Moraxellaceae. The record is from RNAcentral.